UGCGUAGGUGGCGGGGUAAGUCAGGUGUGAAAUCUCGGAGCUCAACUCCGAAACUGCACUUGAUACUGCCUUGCUCGAGUACUGGAGAGGAGAUUGGAAUUUACGGUGUAGCAGUGAAAUGCGUAGAUAUCGUAAGGAAGACCAGUGGCGAAGGCGAAUCUCUGGACAGUUACUGACACUGAGGCACGAAGGGCCAGGGGAGCAAACA
This 208-nucleotide ribosomal RNA is filed under the name uncultured bacterium. RNAcentral describes it as "partial 16S ribosomal RNA". It matches the Rfam family "Bacterial small subunit ribosomal RNA", at positions 568 to 774 of the family's 1533-position model. The record is from RNAcentral.